UACGUAGGGGGCUAGCGUUGUCCGGAUUUAUUGGGCGUAAAGAGCGUGUAGGCGGCUAGGUAGGUCCGUUGUGAAAACUCGAGGCUCAACCUCGAGACGUCGAUGGAAACCAUCUAGCUAGAGUCGGGAAGAGGAGAGUGGAAUUCCUGGUGUAGCGGUGAAAUGCGCAGAUAUCAGGAAGAACACCCGUGGCUAAGGCGGCUCUCUAGUACGGUACUGACGCUGAGACGCGAAAGCGUGGGGAGCGAACAGG
Molecule: ribosomal RNA, 253 nt
Filed under: uncultured bacterium
Lineage: Bacteria
Description: partial 16S ribosomal RNA
Rfam family: Bacterial small subunit ribosomal RNA
Source: RNAcentral